AUAUGACUUUUAUGAACUAGAUUUUUUCCGGCGCAGAAGCCGCGCCGGUUCUCGGUUAC
RNAcentral lists this small RNA (59 nucleotides) under Sinorhizobium meliloti 2011. Its description in RNAcentral is "putative ncRNA". Lineage: Bacteria; Pseudomonadati; Pseudomonadota; Alphaproteobacteria; Hyphomicrobiales; Rhizobiaceae. The record is from RNAcentral.